RNAcentral lists this ribosomal RNA (454 nucleotides) under uncultured bacterium. Its description in RNAcentral is "partial 16S ribosomal RNA". It matches the Rfam family "Bacterial small subunit ribosomal RNA", at positions 28 to 507 of the family's 1533-position model. The record is from RNAcentral.
GAUGAACGCUGACAGAAUGCUUAACACAUGCAAGUCUACUUGAACUUCGGUUUGGGUGGCGGACGGGUGAGUAACGCGUACAGAACUUGCCUCACAGUUAGGGACAACAUUUGGAAACGAAUGCUAAUACCUGAUAUUAUGAUUUUAGGGCAUCCUAAAAUUAUGAAAGCUAUAUGCGCUGUGAGAGAGCUUUGCGUCCCAUUAGCUAGUUGGAGAGGUAACGGCUCACCAAGGCGAUGAUGGGUAGCCGGCCUGAGAGGGUGAACGGCCACAAGGGGACUGAGACACGGCCCUUACUCCUACGGGAGGCAGCAGUGGGGAAUAUUGGACAACGGACCAAAAGUCUGAUCCAGCAAUUCUGUGUGCACGAUGACGUUUUUCGGAAUGUAAAGUGCUUUCAGUUGGGAAGAAAAAAAUGACGGUACCAACAGAAGAAGUGACGGCUAAAUACGUG